GUGAGUCCAGGGUGCAGGCAGGGUUGAGCCCACCUGGAUGAGGUGCUUGAGUCCAUCAUCUCAGUGAAGACGGGGUGAUGUUAGUGAGCAUGUACAGUCUUCCCUCAGUAUCCCUGAGGGAUUUGUUCCAGGAUUCCCCAGAGAUACCAAACUCCUCAGAUGCUCAAGUUCCUUAUGGUAUAAGAUGGUGCAGUGAGGUCAACCCUCCUAUUUGCGGUUCCACAUGAGCAGAUUCAACCAACUGCAGAUGGAUCUGGUUGGUUGACUUGCAGGCUGCAGAAUUCCUGAAUACAAAGGGCCAACUGUGUGUUAUAGAAGAGAAAAAAGCUGACCCAGCCCACCCCGCAUUCUCCUAGAGGGGAAUACUUUGAAUGGCGCUUGUCACCAAUGUGCUUAAGUCCAAAGCCAGGGAGUCCUCCUCCUUUUCCCUUCCUUUAGUGAUGCUGACCCGGUUGUUUACCAGAGCCAAGGAGGAAGGACCAGCUGGCUCUGCCCUGAUGCUGCACAGCUCAUGACGGAUGGAUUCCAGCCCUACUUAUCCUCCCUGUCCUGUGGGGCCCAAGUAAAUAGGGCUCUUUUGUAUGAGGAACCCCGGAGUUGCUGAGUGCCCAGCCCACCAGCCCAUGUGGCGGGAUUCAGCUAUUGCAGGCUAGUAUGAGCUAGCUCCAGCAUGCCACUGGUCUGCUAGGAUUGGAAUUACCCCAAAGCUAUUCUGUAGUGCUGGAGAAGACUCUUGAGAGUCCCUUGGACAGCAAGGAGAUCAAACCAGUCAAUCCUAAAGAAAAUAAACCUUGAAUAUUCAUGGAAGGACUGAUGCUGAAGCUGAGGCUUCUGAUGCCAAGAGCUGACUCAUUGGAAAAAGAUCCUGAUGCUG
Bos taurus (domestic cattle) is the source of this 874-nucleotide long non-coding RNA. The record is from Ensembl. Lineage: Eukaryota; Metazoa; Chordata; Mammalia; Artiodactyla; Bovidae.